UUUCGCUGCUGUCCACAACCCUGUCAGAACAGAUUUGGGACACAUUUUUGGGUCACAACCCGCCAGUUGGAAUAGAGCACAGCGGGAGCCAUAAGUGCCGCUCUGAGACACAACAGCAGUGGAUUAAAGAAUGCCGGAGCCAAAGUCUCUCGCAUGUUUCGCAGCACUGCGGUCGUCCCACAGAGCCAUCCAGACCAACUUCACAUUAGCUGCUGUUCCUGAAGUUCUGUUCCUGACUGAAUUGCAGUGAGAAAGGUACAGUACACAAUUUUUUUAAUGUCAAACGUGAUGAGAAACAAGUAGGCUAAUGUUAAUAGUCAGAAAAAUUCUUCAGUA
Cyprinus carpio (common carp) is the source of this 336-nucleotide long non-coding RNA. Lineage: Eukaryota; Metazoa; Chordata; Actinopteri; Cypriniformes; Cyprinidae. The record is from Ensembl.